GCCAGCGUGGUGUAGUGGUUUGAGCACUGGACCAUGACACUGGAGACCAGGGUUCGAAUCCUGCCUUGGCU
RNAcentral lists this transfer RNA (71 nucleotides) under Phrynosoma platyrhinos (Desert horned lizard). Its description in RNAcentral is "tRNA-OTHER". The record is from RNAcentral. Lineage: Eukaryota; Metazoa; Chordata; Lepidosauria; Squamata; Phrynosomatidae.